RNAcentral lists this ribosomal RNA (708 nucleotides) under uncultured Hyphomicrobiales bacterium. RNAcentral's name for it is "bacterial SSU rRNA". It matches the Rfam family "Bacterial small subunit ribosomal RNA", at positions 34 to 780 of the family's 1533-position model. Lineage: Bacteria; Pseudomonadati; Pseudomonadota; Alphaproteobacteria; Hyphomicrobiales. The record is from RNAcentral.
CGCUGGCGGCAGGCUUAACACAUGCAAGUCGAACGCUCGCAGCAAUGCGGGUGGGAGUGGCAGACGGGUGAGUAACGCGUGGGAACCUACCUGGUGUACGGAACAACCAAGGGAAACUCGGCUAAUACCGUAUAGAGCCUUCGGGGGGAAAGAUUUAUCGCCAUCAGGAUGGGGGCCCGCGUCCGAUUAGCUAGUUGGUGAGGUAACGGCCCACCAAGGCGACGAUCGGUAGCUGGUCUGAGAGGAUGAUCAGCCACACUGGGACUGAGACACGGCCCAGACUCCUACGGGAGGCAGCAGUGGGGAAUAUUGGACAAUGGGCGAAAGCCUGAUCCAGCCAUGCCGCGUGAGUGAUGAAGGCCUUAGGGUUGUAAAGCUCUUUCGGCGGGGAAGAUAAUGACGGUACCCGCAGAAGAAGCCCCGGCUAACUUCGUGCCAGCAGCCGCGGUAAUACGAAGGGGGCUAGCGUUGUUCGGAAUCACUGGGCGUAAAGCGCGCGUAGGCGGGUCGUUAAGUCGGGGGUGAAAUCCCGAGGCUCAACCUCGGAACUGCCUUCGAUACUGGCGACCUUGAGUCCGGGAGAGGUGAGUGGAACUCCUAGUGUAGAGGUGAAAUUCGUAGAUAUUAGGAAGAACACCAGUGGCGAAGGCGGCUCACUGGCCCGGUACUGACGCUGAUGUGCGAAAGCGUGGGGAGCAAACAGGAUUA